GAACGCACAUUGCGCCCCUUGGUAUUCCAUUGGGCAUGCCUGUUCGAGCGUCAUUUAACCCUUCAAGCUCACGCUUGGUGUUGGGCGUCUGUCCGCGCUUUCGGGCGUGGACUCGCCCCAAAUCCAUUGGCAGCGGCUCCGCCGGCUUCUCGCGCAGCACUUUGCGCUCAGGAAGACCUUCGGCGGGCUCGCGUCCAUCAAGUCACCCCUCAUUUUGACCUCGAAUCAGGUAGGGAUACCCGCUGAACUUAAG
RNAcentral lists this unclassified non-coding RNA (253 nucleotides) under uncultured fungus. Its description in RNAcentral is "sequence contains 5.8S rRNA gene". The record is from RNAcentral. Lineage: Eukaryota; Fungi.